RNAcentral lists this ribosomal RNA (305 nucleotides) under uncultured bacterium. RNAcentral's name for it is "bacterial SSU rRNA". It matches the Rfam family "Bacterial small subunit ribosomal RNA", at positions 333 to 637 of the family's 1533-position model. The record is from RNAcentral.
GUAAACCUACGGGGCGCAGCAGUGAGGAAUAUUGGUCAAUGGGCGAGAGCCUGAACCAGCCAAGUCGCGUGAGGGAGUACUGCCCUAUGGGUUGUAAACCUCUUUUGUCGGGAAGCAAAAGCCGGACGUGUCCGUCUGUGAGAGUACCCGAAGAAAAAGCAUCGGCUAACUCCGUGCCAGCAGCCGCGGUAAUACGGAGGAUGCGAUCGUUAUCCGGAUUUAUUGGGUUUAAAGGGUGCGCAGGCGGAUUUUUAAGUCAGCGGUCAAAUCGUGGGGCUCAACCCCAUCCAGCCGUUGAAGCUGGG